GCAUUCUGACAGAAACUUGAUCUUUCUAUGAAAAACAGGAAGGAUAUAUUUAAAAAUGAUUGGAAAACAGGAAUAAGUUGGCAGGGUAGGUUCUACUAGCACAGUAAUUAUAAUGAAUUUAAGAAUAUUAAACCCACCAACUAAAAGACAGAGUUCUGCAUUUAAUUUAUUUUAAAAAUCCAAUCCUGUAAUCUUGAUUCUAAAGCUAAAUAAGGUUAAUGUAAGAAAAGAAAGUUAUAGGCCAUCUAAACUGUGAACAUCAAUUCAAAAAUCCUAAACAAAAUAUUAGCUUGCUGAAUUCAAUAGUAUAUUAAGGACUAACACAACAUGACAUAAUAAUAAUACAUCAUAAUAGGUAAGGUUUAUCCCAGGAAUGCAAGGAUGGUUUAUUCUUAGAAAACCUAUCAAUGUAAUUCCCCACAUUGAUAAACUUUAGGAGAAAAAUUAUUAAAUUAGUCAAUCAAAUCUAAACAUUUGAUAAAGUCCAAUAUCCAUUUUUAUUUUAAGUAAAACAACUCUUAGAAACUUAGGACUAGAAGGAUAUUUCCUUAACUUGAUAAAGUUUAUAUACCAGAAAUCUACAGUGAUGUUACACAUAAAAGAGAAAUUAUAGACAAAUUACCUUUAAAAACAAGUUGCUGUCCAGGCAUGGUGGCUCACACCUGCAAUCCCAGCACUUUGGGAGGCCAAGGUGGGAGAUGGGAAGAGCAAACAAGCUGCCCGUCCUGUCCCAACAGGUUUGUGGACACUCGUGCCCGCUGCCAUUCACUGCCACUCACUGUGGAUGCUGGGGAAGGGGGAAAUGUCGGUCCCCAAGGGGAGCAGAGAUGUUAUAGAAGAUCUACAGCCCAGCCUUCAGCCCCCCAAGUGAGGCCAGAGCCAGAUAUUUAGUGCUGCCAUGCAAUCAGACACAACUUUGCCCCGCCUGCCCUAAGCCAUUUCAGUUUCCACUUUUCUCACUGACCCAGCUGUGAGUCCAACAUUUCUUCCUCCCAAGCCCCGCAAGCUGCAGGACUUCCCAAAUGCUAUUCGCCCAAGCUGAGGACCUCCCCCAUGAAUAUACGUGUUCUCCAUGUCACAAAGCCGGAAGCCAAUACUCGGACCCCACUGCUGCGACCCAAAUGGCCAGCCGCAAAGAAAAUGUUAAUAACCACCAAAGCUUUUUAUUUUUUUUUGCAAUUUGCAAAGUGCUUUUGAAAGAUAUUAUUUCCAUCCCCAUGACAACCUUCUAGGUUAGCCAUUAUUAUCACCUCAUUUUAAGCAUAAGGAAGCAAGAGGUUUGCAGAAGUGUCCACAGAAACGGCAAAGUGAGGUCUGGAGCCCAAGCUGUCUCACUCUUCAUCUCGCCCUCGAUCAGCAGCUGCAAACUCAGCGCCCUGAUCAUCUGAAUGUGGUGACCAGUAGAAUCAGUGAUGACCACCUCUAGCUUUGUAACUCCCGGCUUUUCAGACCUGGCAGCUGGAUAAAUGAGGGGUUUCGGCCAGGCACAGUGGCUCGCGCCUAACACUUUGGGAGGCCGAGGUCAGGAGUUUGAGACCAGGAUAACCUGAGGUCAGGAGUUUGAGACCAGCCUGGCCAACAUGGUGAAACCUCGUCUCUACUAAAAAUACAAAAAAUCAGCCAGGUGUGGUGGUCAGUGCCUGUAAUCCCAGCUACUCAAGAGACUGAAGCAGGAAAAUCUCUUGAACCCUGGAGGUAGAGGUUGCAGUGAGCCGAGAUCACGCCAUUGCACUCUAGCCUGGGAAACAAGAACAAAACUUCAAAACAUCAUCUCAAAAAAAAUGAGGCGCUUUCACCUAACAGGCCUGAGAGGUCCAGGCAAACAUGGAUACAGACUUUACCUGAACUUGCUGGCCCAGGGGCAAGCGACCGGC
This 1874-nucleotide long non-coding RNA is filed under the name Callithrix jacchus (white-tufted-ear marmoset). RNAcentral describes it as "lncRNA (ENSCJAG00000069737.1)". The record is from RNAcentral. Lineage: Eukaryota; Metazoa; Chordata; Mammalia; Primates; Cebidae.